This 74-nucleotide transfer RNA is filed under the name Alphaproteobacteria bacterium. Its description in RNAcentral is "tRNA-Gly". It matches the Rfam family "tRNA". From Rfam's summary of the family: Transfer RNA (tRNA) molecules are approximately 80 nucleotides in length. Lineage: Bacteria; Pseudomonadati; Pseudomonadota; Alphaproteobacteria. The record is from RNAcentral. RNAcentral also lists the same sequence under 1 other name.
GCGGGCGUGGUAUAAUGGUAGCACGAAAGCUUCCCAAGCUUUAGACGAGGGUUCGAUUCCCUUCGCCCGCACCA